RNAcentral lists this long non-coding RNA (7746 nucleotides) under Medicago truncatula (barrel medic). RNAcentral's name for it is "long non-coding RNA (MTRU_LNC001619)". Lineage: Eukaryota; Viridiplantae; Streptophyta; Magnoliopsida; Fabales; Fabaceae. The record is from RNAcentral.
AGGGAAUUGAUAGACACAAGAACAAACCCUUGUUUUUCUAAUAUCAUGAGUUGUUAAGGUUUGACUUUCCUUAUCUCCUAAAAUCAAAAUAGACAAAACAAAAAACUUCUAUUUGCCAAAUUUUUCCCAGCAAGUUGCAAGAAGAAGCUGCAGUCCAAUAUAGAAUAAGUCAAUUGCUUUCUGUAAGAAGAAACUUUGAAUUUUUCUUAUAUAAACAAUAAUUUCAUCAUCUUAUUUUCUUUACUUCACCUGAAAAGCAAAAGAAAAAUUCUCAUCAGAGCAAAAAUUCUGGUAUUGUUAUUUUCUUACCUUUAUAUUUUGGGUUUGAGUAUCUUUUGUAUUUUCCGUAAAAAAACAACAGAAGUUCUGGCUAAUCCGUGGUGGACAGGACAUCAGGUAGGAUUACCUGGGGUGGUGGAUCAUCCCCACCACCCGUCAGGUAAUCCACCUGGUUUUAUGAACAAACGUCCCCACACCGAACUUUUCAUCAACGAAACCAAAAGAAGAGAAGAAGAAGAAGAAGACGAUGAAGAAAGAGACGACGAUGAACCAAAAGAAGGUGCAGUUGAAAUUGGAAACCGAAGACCAAGAGGAAGACCACCCGGUUCAAAAAACAAACCAAAACCACCAAUCUUCGUAACAAGAGACAGUCCAAAUUCACUGAAAAGCCAUGUGAUGGAAGUAUCCUCCGGAGCAGAUGUAGCCGAAAGUGUAGCCCAGUUUGCAAGAAGGCGACAACGCGGGGUUUGUGUUCUAAGCGGUAGUGGAUCAGUUGCAAAUGUUACCCUUAGACAACCUGCAGCACCAGGAGCUGUUGUAGCACUUCAUGGAAGGUUUGAUAUUCUAUCAUUAACCGGAGCUUUUCUACCAGGACCUGCUCCUCCAGGCGCAACCGGACUCACAGUGUACUUAGCCGGUGGACAAGGGCAAGUUGUUGGUGGAAGUGUUGUUGGACCUUUGAUUGCUGCUGGACCUGUUAUGGUUAUUGCUGCUACUUUUGCUAAUGCUACCUAUGAAAGAUUGCCACUUGAAGAAGAUGAGGAAGACGGUGGUGGUGGUGGGGUCCAUGGAGGACAUCAGGUUGCUGGUGGUGGUGGUAAUUCCUCUCCUCCUGGAAUUGGAAGUAGUGGCGGUGGCGGUGGCGGGGGCCACAUGCAGUCUAGCCAUCUUCCAGAUCCAUCUUCUAUGCCUUUGUAUAAUUUGCCACCAAAUCUUCUUCCUAAUGGUGGUCAUGUGGGACAUGAAGCUUUUCCAUGGCCUCAUGGAAUUAGGCCACCCUACUGAAAAAAUAUGAGAUGAUUACAAUUUAUAAGAAAUUGAAGAAAGGAGUUACCAAGUGUUUUUAGAGUAAUGGAAUAAAUAUAUAUGUAGUAUUAUAGUGUUUGUGAUGAAAAUGUGAUGAGAAUUGAGAAGUGAGAAGAGGAAGAAAUGUUAUUAUAUAUAAUUUUAUCACUCUCUAUGUAUGUGUAUAUGAUUAUUAAGUAAGAACUUUCUGUGUGUUUCCUUUUUAGUUGUGUUUUGGAAUAAAAAAGAUGAUGAUGGGUUUUUUUUGUUUUUUAAUUGAUUUCUGAUGAAUUGAUUAUCAUGUUUAUAUUCUCCAUGAUCAAGUAUUUUUUUACUCUUUGUUGCUUUGUUUUUUAAUUGUAUUAUUAUUUUAUUGAUGAAUUUGUUAGGGAUUGAAUACAUGCUGGAAUUAUUUUUCAUAAGACUUUGGAGAUAUGAAGUUUAAGCUUGUUUUGUUGGACUUGCUUAAAUAUAGUUUCUUCUAUCAAUCAUUACUAGCUUUUUUUUAUUUUUUAUUUUUUUUGAUGGAAAGGAAAAUGUAAUAGAAUAGAAAAGAUUCAUAAGUGAUUAGUUUCUCAUACAAUUUUCCCCAUAAAACUUAUCUAAGAAAUUUUAUUUUUAUAUUUUAAGGCAUUAGCAGAACUGAUUCUUAGGGUUUGUGAAUUUAAGCUUUGCUAGUGUGAAUGCAAAACAUGAUGAAAGCAAGUAGGGCUAUUUUGCUUUUUCUUAUUCUCUUCUUCUCUUUCUCUCUCUCACACACAGCUAUAUCUCUCUGCUUCUGUCUGCUCAUUAUAUUAUUUGAAUCCACCUUAGCAGCAGUUUACUGCUUAGUUAAUAAAAGUAUCUCUAAUAAAAAAUUGUUCAUGAAUAAAAUUAUAUUUUAUAUAUAAAAUAAACUCAUGUAAUUCUAGUUUACAAAUUUUGGUCUACUAUCUAUACUUAAAUGAAUCAAAUCUAAGGAUACUAGGGUUGUUUGCAACUAGUUAGAGAAAUUAAACCUCUUUCAUAUAGUUGCUUAGUAUAAAAUAUGUUCCACUUUCAAAGAGAAACUUGAAUUACAAUAUACUUUUCUCUUAUCUUAAAAUAUCCAUUCUACUCUAAAAAGUAAAAACAUUACAUUCAAUCUAUUAUAUCAUCUUUCUUGACUUAAAUUUUAGAGGGUGACAUAUUAUAAAGAACAACGGACAAGAAAUGACAAUUAUCGAGAUUUGAUUGCUAAACCGUUCACUCGUAAAACACUUAUGGAGUAAUCAAAUAUGUGAGUAAGCAAUCAUAUUUGAUGUCAUAAACACUUUUGGAUCUAUCACCUCAAUGUUAAAUCUACCAAAGAGAAUAAAAUUUUGUGGGAUGACAUGACACAUUUUCCCUAAGUUAAUCAAAGAGAAGAGAUACAUAGGAGUUAGAAAGAUGUUGUAGUGUAGGUUUAAACUUCAUUAACUCACUGCCAAAUAAGAACUUAUCAUUUUUUUUGGUGGUUGGGAUUCGAACCCCAGACCUUGCAUAUAUUAUACAUUGUCCAUACCAACUGAAUUAAGCUCACGGGGACAUAAGAAUUUUUUAUUUUUUUUUAUAACUAGAAGAACUUAUCAUUUGUUAUCCAACAAAAAGAGUUUAAGAAAUAUAUAAUAUUAUAGUAUACAAGUUGCUUAGUAAGAAAAAUAGUAGAAGAGACAAGAGACUAAACAAAGUAUCAAAUGUGGACCAACAAUUUUUAGUAAAAUCAUGUGUUUUGAACAUAGCGAAAGGGAGUGAUAUUUUACUCAAAACUGUGGAGAUCUGCAAAAUGUAUACCUUUUUUUUUUUUUUUUGACAAAAGGAUGCAAAAUAUAUACUUGAAACUGCAAAUCAUGUGGACCAACAAUUUUUAGUAAAAUCAAGUGUUAUGUCCAUAUUAGAUAUAACUGCAAAAUAUACUUGAAAAAUAACUAAAGAUAAUCAACUUUAGGUUUAUUUUUUUUUUGAAGCAAACUUUAGGUUUAUUUAAGAACAAAUAAUUAACUUUAAUUUGGGAUGGCCGUACAUAAAAUAAUAUUUUUUUUGUCUAACCGUACAUAAAAUAUUUUGAGUGAGCUCCCAAGAAAGUACAGCCUCAAGUUUUGAAAUAACCAACAUAAGGAAAAACAUACAGUCAAAUCUGGUUGGAGGAGACAAAAUGUGCUGACUUUAUUUAUGUUUAUGAGUAAGCAAUACUAAUCAUAAAUAAGGAAUAAUUACGUUGGAAAUUUGGAAUUAUGUACAUCAAAUCCAAUUUCGUGAUAAGACCAAAUGAAAUCAGAGCCAAUUUAAGUAGAAAUUUGACAAGUUAAAAUAGAAGUCAAUAAUCUAGUAAAAGGCAUGCUCAAAUAGUAGUCAAUUUGUUGGAACAAAGAGGCUAAAACGUUAGUCAAAAUGUAGAAAAGAUGAAGCUAAAACAUGAGUCAAUAUGUGAAAAUAUAUGAAUUAUUGUGAACAAAAGAUAAAAGAAAAAUUAUUGACUCAAACUCUACUUUGUAGGAUUAAAUUUUGAAAGGAUUUAUAGGAUUAAAUAUGUUUUUUUAAUAUAGGAUCAGAUAUGUUUUUACUUUUUUAUAAAAUUACGAAUCUUUUCAAUUGUAGUUUUUCUAUUAAUAUUUUUAACCAUUUUUAGUACCUAUAAAAAAAAAAAUGUUGUUUCUAGUUCAUACAAAGAGACAAAAAGUUGUGAAAGGUAGAGAUUGGAAUUGAUGAAAUUUUCAUAGAUGGAGGUUGAAUAGUUUAAUUGAUUUCAUCUAAAAGAUAAAAAAUUAGAUGUUAUGAAUUUCAACCCAAACAAAGGAGAAAAAAGAAAUCUAACAUCUAAUUAUUAACAUUUGUCGUUAAUGAAGGCAAAACAUUUAUAAACUAACUAAAAAUAUGGAUGGUUUAUAAGGAAGAAAAACUUUUUUUUAAGUGAGGGACGAAAAACAUAUUAAACAAAGUUAACCUGAGAUGACAUAGGGGAGAUCAUAAACAAAGUAAAUCACAUUUUCCUUUGAUAUAAAUGCAAAUUUCCCUAAACCCUAAAUACUUACUCUCUCCAGUCAAAUUCAUAAAAAAAAAACUUCUUAGGUUCAUUGAAAUAUAAUGUAUUUAGUCUAUAAUAUAUACUGAAUACAUUGAAUAUUUAAUGAUUCUUAAAUGUAGUUUUUUGCUUAUAAAUAUGAUUGGAUGAAGUACUCCCUCUGUUCCUUAAUGUAGCCAUCCAUUGUCUUUUUCACAUUUCUUAAGAAAAGUUGUCAGUGUAAUUAAUGUGUCUGUUUUGUGUGUUAAUAUUACGAAAUUGUCUUUUAUUUGUAUGUGUAUUAAAUUUGACUUUUCAUAUUUCAAGACAAGAUAGUGAUAUUAAUUAGGGUGUGUUUAGGAAAAUAAUAAUAAUAAAUGCAUCUAGUAAUUUGAAAAGAAAUUUAUAUUUAGGAACAAAAGUAAAAUCAAAUGGGUGUUUACAUAUAGGGUCAGAGGAAGUAUAAAAGAAUAAGAAAGCUAAGCUCAAGCGUUCAAAUGUAAUACCAUCAACAUCCAAUUUAACUUUUAUUAAGUAACCAGCCUAUAUUAAUUUAAAAUGAAAAUUAAAUCUGAGUUAAAUUUCUCUAAAAAUAAAAAGUACAUAUUUUAUUUAAGAAGAAUUAUAAAAAAGAUGAGUGAUAUCUAAACAACCAAAAUCAAACAACUUUAGUGAUAAUCUUUUUUCCUCUCUUCUUAUUGGACAAUAAUAAUAGAGAGAAAAAGAAAGAAAGAGGAUAAAAGUACAAUGAGAGUAUAAGAGAGAAAGUUGUCACAAAAGUUAUUUAAAAGUGAUUGUUCAAAUAUCAUUUCUCUAUAAAAAUAAAAAUAAAACAAAUAUUAAUUUGUGUUCUCAAAAGCACAUGUUAAGGAACUUAUUAUAAAAACAUACGUAUCAAAAGUCGUGUAGUCAACUUCUUAAUAGUUAAAUUAUCAUGUUUUCUAAUUUAAAGUUGCUCAAUUUGGAUUCCUUAACAUGUGCCCUUAUGACACAAGUUAAUAGUCCUUUCUAGAAACUCUAAAAUAUUCACUUUGUCGCAUGCACAUGACCCAAGUAUUGCACAAAUUAAAGUGUUACAAACCUUGCCGGGGCAUAUUACACACUUUCUUGUAUUUUCUAGUUGAAGCUGUUAAUGUUUGAACUUUGAAGUAUGGAAUGAAGUAUGGCUCUAUUCUUUCUACUUCGAUUUCAUCAAAUUUUGCAGACACUUUUGUCGUCCCAUCCACACCCACGUGUUAAUGUUAAGGAUAAAUCACUAGAUAGAUAUGGUCAAUGCCCACAGGAUUUCUUCUUUUGUAAAGUUUAUUUUAGUAAAAUGGAGGAUUUUCUGUUCAUGCCUAAAUGUAGAGUAAGAUUUAUGCAUAAAGGGAGAGUAAAGAUCAUAUGAGAGGGGUGAUGAUGUGAUAUUAGAUUAUUAAAAUAUCGCUGAUAAAUGGAGGUGUAUAUAAAAGGUGUAUAAAAAAGGAUGUUUAUAUAUAAUGACUAUUGUAUGUAAUAUGAGUGAUGUGUUUAGGACGAACAAAGGUUAAACACUCAACCAUAAAAAAUAAAAAAUAAAAAGAAAUGUCAACCAGUAUCAACAAAAGGCUAUCGGUCCAAACACAAAAAUGGUUUCAACUUCCACUCGUAAAGUAGACAGUAGUUCAAAGAAGUCUUACCCAAAAACCGCUUCCAAAAGAAAAAAAUUGAUUACAAAAACGCUUCCAAAAAUGCUUUAAUUGCUCAAUAUUUUUCAACUUGAGAAAAAAAAAUUGAUAUCACUACACCACUUUCAAUUGGACUACCCUACCGAAUGUCUUACCACAACAAAUCCAUUCAUACACCUAGACUCUACCCUCAAAGGUAGGGGUGUAACACUUCGGUUUGGAUUGGUUUUCAGUCAAAAAAAAGUCUGAAUCGAUGAAACCUUCAUCGGUUUGGAUUGGUUCGAUUUUCACUGUUUUUCAAAAAAGAAAUCGAACCAAAUUAAUCGGUUUAGUUCGAAUUGGAUUGGUUCAGUUGAUCGGUUUAAUUAAAAAUACAAUUAAAAAAAAUUCAUAUUCUGACAAAAUAUUUUACAGAACUUUGUAUAAUUUUAUUUCAUAUUUUUUUUUUUUCAUGUUCACUAUUUUUCAAACAACUUUUUAUAACUAACCUUACUCAAUAUUUCAUAUAUAUGAUCCAAGAUUCAUUCAUCCAUCAUUCUUCAAAAACAACUUCAUCAAACUCAAAUAUUUCAAUCAUUCAUGAUCCAUACAUGGAUCAUUGGGAUAGAAAAUGAACAUGGAAAACAAUGAAAUAUAAUGACUACAAAUCAAUGGCAUAAACAUGAUAAAACUAACCAAGAGAUGAACAAUCUCAGCGGUGACCGGUGGCGAUGAACAAUGGGCUUGGUGUGGUUGACGGCUAGGGUUUCUUUUUAAGUAGAAAUGAAAUAGUCUGACUGAUGAGAUGAGAUGAAGAUUAGAGAAAGUGAAUGGAUUAAAAAGUAUUUUAUGUUUAAUUUUGGGUCUAACCAUAAGUUUGUGUGAGGUAUGAUAAUAUUAGUAAAAUAAGGAGUUUGGUUAUCAUCAGAUUGGUUCAUCGGUUUCACGGAUCUCGAAAUAAAAAACCAUGAACCAAACCAAACUAGAUCGGUAUCGAUUGGUUCGGAUCGGUUUCAAACCGAACCAAACAAGGUUGGAUAUUUUUUCGUUUUGGUUCGGUUUGGACUUUCGGUUUCGUUGGUUUUGUCCGAACCACUUACACCCCUACUCAAAGGCCUAAAAAACUGAUCACAAGUAGAGUAGAUCAAGGGGCAUAACUCACUUCCCCCCAACCUUAUCCAAAUCUUAUUACACACAUGAAUGGGAAACUCACAAGUAAUGAAAAGAUGGUGCACCACAAACACACAAGAGGUACCGUUAGGGUCUAAGAACACUUCUUGACGACGAAGACUAUAACUGAUAAAGGCCUUGUCAAGAAGUAACUGUAAAGAGAAGGCAAUUACUUCGUACAAAAAUCAACUCUUCAAGAUUUUAGUUAAACAAUGAAGGCCCGUCACCCACAAACGAAUAGUAAGUGGUAAAUCAAACCGAGUAGCUAUCAGUAUUUGAAGCCUUUAGGGGUAGCACCUAGGUGCAAGAAGGGUCUUGUUAUUGUAUGACAUUCGAUAGUGUAAUUUAUUUAAAAGUCACGUAAUGAUAUAUAUUUUUUUUUUAUAAGAUGAUUGUUGUUGAGCCAUUGGUUGAUAAAAUUAAUUUUUCUCUUGAAAAUUAUUUUUGGUUGAGACUUAAUAGAACUCAUACCUUUUACUCGUGGAAGGUAGAAUCCUCCAUGUUCUUAUCGACUAUUCCGCUUGUAUGCCAUGGUUUGACUUUUAUACAUAUUAAGAAUUCAAUUUGUUCCAUUUGAAUAAAUAAAGCAUUUAAGUUGUGUCUCAAAUAUGAUAAAUUGCGUCGUUUGUAGUGCAUAAAGGGGCAAAUGAAAAUUAGUCUUGAUGUAAC